This 465-nucleotide ribosomal RNA is filed under the name Vreelandella stevensii. RNAcentral's name for it is "partial 16S ribosomal RNA". It matches the Rfam family "Bacterial small subunit ribosomal RNA", at positions 338 to 795 of the family's 1533-position model. The record is from RNAcentral. Lineage: Bacteria; Pseudomonadati; Pseudomonadota; Gammaproteobacteria; Oceanospirillales; Halomonadaceae.
CCUACGGGUGGCUGCAGUGGGGAAUAUUGGACAAUGGGCGAAAGCCUGAUCCAGCCAUGCCGCGUGUGUGAAGAAGGCCUUCGGGUUGUAAAGCACUUUCAGUGGGGAAGAAAGCCUUGGGGCUAAUACCCUCGAGGAAGGACAUCACCCACAGAAGAAGCACCGACUAACUCCGUGCCAGCAGCCGCGGUAAUACGGAGGGUGCGAGCGUUAAUCGGAAUUACUGGGCGUAAAGCGCGCGUAGGCGGUCUGAUAAGCCGGUUGUGAAAGCCCCGGGCUCAACCUGGGAACGGCAUCCGGAACUGUCAGGCUAGAGUGCAGGAGAGGAAGGUAGAAUUCCCGGUGUAGCGGUGAAAUGCGUAGAGAUCGGGAGGAAUACCAGUGGCGAAGGCGGCCUUCUGGACUGACACUGACGCUGAGGUGCGAAAGCGUGGGUAGCAAACAGGAUUAGAUACCCCUGUAGUC